This is a long non-coding RNA of Branchiostoma floridae (Florida lancelet), 372 nucleotides long. RefSeq lists it as uncharacterized. Lineage: Eukaryota; Metazoa; Chordata; Leptocardii; Amphioxiformes; Branchiostomatidae. The transcript is spliced from 3 exons. The record is from RefSeq and is a predicted model, not a curated record.
UGCAGGGCAAGAUGGGGACUCCCAUGUGAGAUGAAAUAAUGUUUAUACUUUUUAAGUCCUACAAUGACGUAGUGAUGCACAGCUAUGAGACAAAAAAGGUUACUGCACAUUGAAGACACAGGGUGGAACAAAUAGGGAGAAAAGGUUGCAUUAAAGCAUACAUUUUAGUCAUACAAUACUCAUAUUUCUCGGCGUGAAAAAGGCACUUUGUCAUUUCUUGAUGAGGGCAUUUCUUGUCUGUCCAUUCUACUACAGAAAGGUUUGAGUAAACAAGGAAAAGAUGAGACCAGACAAUGCCUUUGAUACAAAAUCCGUAGGAAAAUUUUUAUUCUGACAUUCACAUCCAACUACAAAAAAGCAUACUGUGUUGAA